Molecule: ribosomal RNA, 440 nt
Filed under: uncultured bacterium
Lineage: Bacteria
Description: partial 16S ribosomal RNA
Rfam family: Bacterial small subunit ribosomal RNA
Source: RNAcentral
CCUACGGGAGGCAGCAGUAGGGAAUAUUGCUCAAUGGGGGAAACCCUGAAGCAGCAACGCCGCGUGGAGGAUGAAGGUUUUCGGAUUGUAAACUCCUUUUGUUAGAGAAGAUAAUUACGGUAUCUAACGAAUAAGCACCGGCUAACUCCGUGCCAGCAGCCGCGGUAAUACGUAGGAGGCAAGCGUUAUCCGGAAUGACUGGGCGUAAGGGGUGCGUAGGUGGUUUGACAAGUUAGUAGCGUAAUUCCGGGGCUCAACUUCGGAACUACUACUAAAACUGUUGGGCUUGAGUGCAGGAGAGGUGAAUGGAAUUCCUGGUGUAGCGGUGGAAUGCGUAGAUAUUAGGAGGAACACCAGCGGCGAAGGCGAUUCACUGGACUGUAACUGACACUGAGGCACGAAAGCGUGGGGAGCAAACAGGAUUAGAUACCCGUGUAGUC